Molecule: non-coding RNA, 620 nt
Filed under: Pan troglodytes (chimpanzee)
Lineage: Eukaryota; Metazoa; Chordata; Mammalia; Primates; Hominidae
Source: RNAcentral
AGACUGGCUAAGUCUUCUGGCCUCCAUCUUUCUCCCAUGCUGGAUGCUUCCUGCCCUUGAACAUCAGACUCCAAGUUCUUCAGCUUUUGGACUGUUGGACUUACACCAGUGAUUUGCCAGGGGCUCUUGGGCCUUCAGCCACAGACUGAAGGCUGUACUGUCAGCUUCCCUACUUUUGAGAUUUUGGGACACGUACUGGCUUCCUGGCUCCUCAGCUUGCAGACGGCCUAUCAUGGUACUACACCUUGUGAUCGUGACCGCUGGUAUAGCUUGCCUGGUGGUGGACUUGGAGGAUACCAUUGCAUCAGGGCAUUUCUCCACAUGAUAGCUCCUGCCUGCUGGACAGGUCCUCUCUUGACUAUGUGUAUUCUCCAGAGAAGCAGCAUUUAUAAAAUUGGAUUAAAAUAAACUAGCGAAUUAAAUAUGAAUAUGAAAAUAAACAGCUGUUAUCAUGGAAAUUGCAUUGAUGUGGAUUCUUCUGAAGGCAUGUCCCUAAAGAACCUGCCAACAAAUUCUGUAAAGGCAGAAUGAACAUUCUGGAAAAUUUAUGUCCUUGUAUAGAAGGCUAGAAAAAAAAAAGAAGAAAAAAGAAACUCUCAGCCUGAAGGCCUACGUAAAAC